RNAcentral lists this ribosomal RNA (433 nucleotides) under uncultured bacterium. Its description in RNAcentral is "partial 16S ribosomal RNA". It matches the Rfam family "Bacterial small subunit ribosomal RNA", at positions 29 to 507 of the family's 1533-position model. The record is from RNAcentral.
AACGAACGCUGGCGGCAGGCCUAACACAUGCAAGUCGAGCGAGCAUUUCGGUGCUAGCGGCGGACGGGUGAGUAACGCGUGGGAACGCGCCCUUUUCUGCGGAAUAGUCCUGGGAAACUGGGGGUAAUACCGCAUACGCCCUUUUGGGGAAAGAUUUAUCGGGGAAGGAUCGGCCCGCGUUGGAUUAGGUAGUUGGUGGGGUAAUGGCCCACCAAGCCGACGAUCCAUAGCUGGUUUGAGAGGAUGAUCAGCCACACUGGGACUGAGACACGGCCCAGACUCCUACGGGAGGCAGCAGUGGGGAAUCUUAGACAAUGGGGGCAACCCUGAUCUAGCCAUGCCGCGUGAGUGAUGAAGGCCUUAGGGUUGUAAAGCUCUUUCAGCUGGGAAGAUAAUGACGGUACCAUCAGAAGAAGCCCCGGCUAACUCCGUG